UAAGACGGAGGGUGCGAACGUUGCUCGGAAUUACUGGGCGUAAAGCGCGUGUAGGCGGGCCUGCAAGCGGGGUGUGAAAGCCCUGGGCUCAACCCAGGAAGUGCAUUCCGAACUGCCGGCCUUGAGUGCGGGAGAGGGAGGUAGAAUUCCCGGUGUAGAGGUGAAAUUCGUAGAUAUCGGGAGGAAUACCAGUGGCGAAGGCGGCCUCCUGGACCGACACUGACGCUGAGACGCGAAAGCGUGGGGAGCAAACAGGAUUAGAUACCCUGGUAGUCCACGCCGUAAACGAUGGGUACUAGGUGUCGCGGGUAUUGACCCCUGCGGUGCCAAAGCCAACGCGUUAAGUACCCCGCCUGGGGAGUACGGCCGCAAGGCUA
This 377-nucleotide ribosomal RNA is filed under the name uncultured delta proteobacterium. RNAcentral describes it as "bacterial SSU rRNA". It matches the Rfam family "Bacterial small subunit ribosomal RNA", at positions 521 to 896 of the family's 1533-position model. Lineage: Bacteria; Deltaproteobacteria. The record is from RNAcentral.